UACGUAGGGGGCUAGCGUUGUCCGGAAUCAUUGGGCGUAAAGCGCGCAUAGGCGGCCAGAUAAGUCCGGUGUGAAAGUCACAGGCUCAACCUGUGAAUGCCGCUGGAAACUGUCUGGCUAGAGUCCGGAAGGGGCGAGUGGAAUUCCUGGUGUAGCGGUGAAAUGCGCAGAUAUCAGGAGGAACACCAAUGGCGAAGGCAGCUCGCUGGAACGGUACUGACGCUGAGGCGCGAAAGCGUGGGGAGCGAACAGG
RNAcentral lists this ribosomal RNA (253 nucleotides) under uncultured bacterium. RNAcentral describes it as "partial 16S ribosomal RNA". It matches the Rfam family "Bacterial small subunit ribosomal RNA", at positions 524 to 776 of the family's 1533-position model. The record is from RNAcentral.